UACGUAGGUGGCAAGCGUUGUCCGGAAUUAUUGGGCGUAAAGCGCGCGCAGGCGGUCUUUUAAGUCUGAUGUGAAAGCCCACGGCUCAACCGUGGAGGGUCAUUGGAAACUGGGGGACUUGAGUGCAGAAGAGGAAAGUGGAAUUCCAUGUGUAGCGGUGAAAUGCGUAGAGAUGUGGAGGAACACCAGUGGCGAAGGCGACUUUCUGGUCUGUAACUGACGCUGAGGCGCGAAAGCGUGGGGAGCGAACAGG
Molecule: ribosomal RNA, 253 nt
Filed under: uncultured bacterium
Lineage: Bacteria
Description: partial 16S ribosomal RNA
Rfam family: Bacterial small subunit ribosomal RNA
Source: RNAcentral